Long non-coding RNA from Lycium barbarum (goji berry), 3351 nucleotides. RefSeq lists it as uncharacterized. The transcript is spliced from 3 exons. Lineage: Eukaryota; Viridiplantae; Streptophyta; Magnoliopsida; Solanales; Solanaceae. The record is from RefSeq and is a predicted model, not a curated record.
GAUUAACUAUGAUAAUUUAAGGCCAAGACCAUUCCGGGAUUUGAAGUCGGGACUUUUGGCCUUUGAUUUUAUUUUGAGAGAUAAGUUGUGCAUGAAAAUUGUUGACAUUAAACACUUAGGAAAAUUUAGGACCAAAAGUGAUAUAAUUGGAAUUGAAAAAAAAUCUUGUGCAAAAAGGCCUUGUAUAUAAAGAAAGAAGUCCCGAUAUAAUUUAGGCCUUAACAAGUAUGACGACGGUGGUUGAGAAUAAUAUUUGUUUAGAUAUAAAGAGGCUAUGGACUAGGAUUAUACCACAUGAGUAUGUGAAGUGUGUUAAAAAUGAUUAUUAUUUAAGUGAACUGAGAUCAAAAAAUUAAUUAUGUGUGUGAUUGACCAAAUGUUAGAAUUGUAGUGGAAGUAAAACAAUUAAUUGGGUUUAUUGAAUAAUCAUUAAUGUGGACAUACUCCACAUGUUCGGUUCACAAAUGGACAACAAUAUGUCCACACUCAAGGACACGUAAGGUUGUAGACAAGAUGAAUAUUAAGGGGAUUCCAUAUGUUUGGCACGUGUAAAGGCAAUUAGCCAUUUUACUUGUCUCACUGUAUAAUGCUAUCUAAAGGCAUAUUUUUGCAACAAACAGUCAUUUCCUCUUAGCUACAUCAACGAGCAGUUCAUGAUAGUAGCAACAUAAUUAUUAUUUUUAGGAAGCAAAUUCUACUAUUUCUCAGGAACAAUAUCCGAGUUUCGUUCACCGCUUUGAUAUCGUUGUUUUUAUUUUAUCGCGUUAUUAAAUUUGGGCUUUCUUCGAAGGAAAGUAAAGCGGAAGAAGAUCAUUUCUUGGCAUAUAAGACCUUGGGGAGCCUGAGGCGUAGAUUGGAUAUUUACUUAAGAUUGGCCAUCUUGGAGUGCGUACGAGGUACAGACGCACAGCCUGGUGAUCCACCUGUUUAGGACACCCUUUCUGCUAUUCGGAGUGCUCCUCUCUUUUCGAAGCUUAUACUUUUGGUAUAUAUAUUUAUUAGUGCAUUUGUAUAUAUUCGUUCAUAGGUACGGCGGGACCCUGUCCCGUCAUAUGAUUCUGUCGCUCUGUUUAGAGGUCUGUGGACAUGUUUGCGGGUUAGGGUCUUUCUGUAUGGAUGUAUGUACAUGUCGUUUGGGCGAUCCCAUACGCCGAGGCGGCCGGUCCGCAUAUGUUGUUUGGGCGAUCCUAUACGCCGAGGCGGCCGGUCCGCAUAUGUUUAUAUAUUGCUUGGUUAGCCCUGUGUGGCUUUUGUUGGUAUUUUCUGCGUGCAGGGUAUAUUGGAUAGUCCGUAAAACAAAGGAAACUCUGCCGAAAUUUUUCUGGAAAUUACCUAAAUUUGAAAUAAAGCCUUGUCGGCUUCCGCCAUAUACUAGAAUGAGUUAAUAGAAUUUGAGAUAAUAUUUGAUAGAUGGGUUCGGGUGCCCAGAUCGGGCACUAGUCACGGCCUACGGGGUUGGGUCGUGACAUUAUCCCGAUGAAUCCAAUAUAUCUUAUCAAAAAUAAAUUAUCCUGAUGAAUCCCAGCUACUCACUGCUGUCCUCGAUCCACAUGUAGUAAACAAACAUGAAGGGUUCUUCAUCACCAGUCCAACCACCUCCCCAUUUGGCUUGCUGAUGAUUUGAUGUAAGGGCAUGAGAUAUUUUAAAGGUAAAAUAAUAUGCAAAAGACCAACGUGUAUUUUGUGCUUUUGAUAGUUCUCAAGGAUGCCAUAUUCCAAGCUUUGAAGGGAUUACACCCCAGGAAAUUACCAAUCUUUAUUUAGUUGUUUAUUUUUAUAUGCAUUGAAGUAGUAGGAACUUGUAACUAUAAGACUGUACCUUGUCCGUUCAUAUCUCCAGCCCUUUGGUUCUGGGCCUUUUGUUCAGAGUAAUGUAUUGUCUCAUACCACUUGAGGUAAUUAACUAGCUAGUGUUUCGUUUGACAGGUUACCAACCUUAGCUUGUUUGUUCUAACGAUAAACAUCAUUAAUCACGUGUUAAUUUGAAGUUUCCGCAGGAAAUAAGCUUUUUAAUAUUUCGUCGGCAAUUUAAAGCCUCGCAAGUAUUGUCCAUGAAACAGGGGUAAGUGGGGGUGUCCACAUCUGUGUCUUUGCUGUGUUGUUCUUGUCAAUAGAGUGCUCCUCUGAGGUAGCAUGUUACCUAAACAUCCAUUUUGCUUUUCUUUGAUGAUUCUUUCUUUGAACUACUUGUUCACCUAUUAGUGGUAUAUAUAGUUAUAUUUGCAAAAGUGAAAUCUUAAUGGUGCCACCAUAUGUAUCUGAUUAAUUGGUAAUAUUAUGUCUUCAAAUUUGAAAAACAAAGAGUAUCUGAUUAAUUGGUAAUAGACUGUAAAUGUUUUUGCUGUCUUAGAUUGAAAUAUCUCUCUGUGUAACUUAAAUUUGAAGUAAAAUAUGAAAUAUUUCGUUGCCGUGACGUUGAACUCCUACUCAUGAAGAGAAACUGGUUUAUUUUGUAAGAAUCCAAGUAGCUUCCUAGGGGCUAGAAUCUGAUUUUGCCCCUGAAAUUGUACCACUAAUUCAAAUAUAUCUAUUCAAUACUAGUGCCAAUAUCAGAUAAAUAUCCAUUCAGCUUGUUUCUCCAUGUGCUCAAUUCCAAUUCAACUGAAGCAUCUUUGUCAGUUUCAAGUUGCAGUUUUCCUUUGUGACCACAAAAUCUUUGGCACGGAUUCUAUGUUUAUUUCUCCGAGUCUCAAUCUCAUCUUUAUGAGUCCACUGUGGCACUUCUCUAAUUUUGCCUUGGUGGUUGCAAUGAUAAUUACCAGCUAUUUAAUCCUUGUAGCUAUAAAACAGAAACUUGAGGGGUUCUGGAUCCCAAGUCCAACCACCUAUAGCUACGGAUUCAGUAAAAAUAACGGCAAAGCUUUAGAUUUGCCCUUGUACUCUCAUAAAUAAGUUAUAGCCCUUCGUUACCCUUCGAUCGUUAAAUCCCCUUGUCUUCACCUUUAUUUUCCUACGUGGAAUAUUCUUCUCCCAAUUUAAAUUAAAAAUAAACCCAAAUAUACAACCCCCGUUCCCGGUCCGUUAGUCUUCUCCACUUAUUUAAUUGAACAGCCUUCUUCACCAUGGCAAAAAAACUUUUUUCAACAGUAAAAAUCACUGCUGCAAAAAGUUGCUAUACCUGAUGCCAAGAAAAGAUGAUCCGUUUUAUCUCAAUUCCAUCAUAUAUGUCGAAGUUCACAAUAUACAGCACCACAUUAAUAACAGCGCUAAUUAAAAGAUGUUAUCAACAACAGUGUAUGAGACGAUCUUACUAAUUUUCUCAUGACUGACCCUAGUUAUGAAUCAUUGAACAAAUGUCAAAAAGUUAGUUUUCUUUUCCUAUUUGCAUAUCGUAGUGUAUUGAAUCGAAAA